This is a long non-coding RNA of Drosophila elegans, 9731 nucleotides long. RefSeq lists it as uncharacterized. The record is from RefSeq and is a predicted model, not a curated record. Lineage: Eukaryota; Metazoa; Arthropoda; Insecta; Diptera; Drosophilidae. The transcript is spliced from 3 exons.
GACAUUGUUGUCUUAGUUGUUGCUGUAUUAUGGGGCCACGCAAAGUGAGAAAAAAAAACGGAACACCAACGCACAGGCAAGAAAGGCGACCACAAAGCGGGCCAAAUCAAAAGCGACCGCCGAAAACGAGCCAUUUUUUUCUUUCUUGUGUGUUUCCGAAUCGUAAAAACGGGUAUUUGUGAUAUUUUGAUAUUUGGUGAAUUGUGCAAACGAUUUCGAAUAAAAAUACUCAGUAACUUUAAUUGAAAACUAGAAUUAAAAGAUGCGCGAAGCGAAACGCGCACAGCACGAACAAACGCAAAGAAUAAAGUGAAAAAGAGGACCAAAGAGAGACGCGGUAUGCGAGAAAGAGAUGGCGCGGUUUCCAGUGAUGGUGGAGUGACAGUAAAUAGCAACAACAAAAGGUGAGAGAAGCACACAAAAUGACCCCACAGCAAGGGAGAGGAAGAAGAGCAAGCUGCACUCAGCUGUGCGCCUUCCAAUAAAAUUUAACUUCAAUUGGAAAAUUGCGAUACAAAAACAAAUCAACAAAACGACCUGAAAUAAACAAAACAAAGUGCAACAGGGCGCAUCACAUCAAUAUGUUUCAACAGCUGAUGCUAAUCAAAUUUUGGGGGGGCGCUUUUGUCUGUGCUUUGAUUUGUUUGGCAACAAAUUGAACACAUCAAAUGCAGGCGCUUUUUGUUUUUGGUUAAAGGUGGAAAUGGAAUUGAAAACGAAAGUGCAGCGCCGCUUCUCCCGCUUUCCCGUCUCCUACUAUUCCACUUAGCGGCUGCGUUGAAAGAUUUGCGGUACUUUGGCGGACAGAUGGCAACACGUGUUGUUGUGCCCCUCCCACCCCGCCCAAUUACUUUCUAUCGAGUGGGUUGUUUACCGUUCAGCCGUUGAACUUUCCAUUUAUUGCUGUUUCACCUUCGCUUCCAGCAUUUUCCAUUUAUUAUUGUUUCUUCAUAAGUUCAUGACAUUCCAGAUCGUUAUCACUGUACUUGGAAAACAGACAUUUACCAUAGCAAUUUAAAUGAUUCAUCGAAAAUGGUAACUGUUUAUUAGUUCCACUGUACUUUUUUUUGACUUUGACUCCUCAUUUAAGGUUACAGUUACUCAUGAGUUUCAAUUAACGCGCUUUGCGCCAUUAGUCAUUAUCAUCAACGCAUAACCAAUUUACCGACUCUCGAGAUGAGAUCACUCCAAAACUAUUAUAAUGUAUUGUAAUUAGUUUGUUCGCCAACGUGACACGGUGUUUAUUGUUUUAAGCGUGUUGUGGAAAAAUAAUACAUUUAUAGCGCGGGCCUCCUAAUGUGUUUGUGCUGCUGCUGCUGCUGGUAAAAAACAAACGGAAAAUGCUUUUCUCCUGCUUCGUUUUUUAUUUCGACAGCAAUAACAAUUUCCGUUUCCGUUGUUAUUCCACCUGUGACGUCAUCCCCGAACUACCGUUGUUGAGAGAAACCCCAUUUUCUGGCGGCCAUUUGUUCGUCAGGUGAGUGAGUGCGAUAAAUACAUACAUAGCUGCAUAAUGGCCACCUGCUGGCUCACUCCCACACGCACACACUCACACGAAAAACCCGUUAUCUCUGAAGCCAUCGUGAAGUCAGGCUAUCUCCGUUCCUCUCUAACGCUCUUAAUCAGGUUGUUUGGUUGUAAACCGCAAUACGCCUACCUAGAAAUCGUAGAACCACAGAACCUAGAAAUGGAACAGUAGUAAUGCGUUUCGAUGAAAAAUUUUUGUAAGCCGAUCUAACCGAAAAACCUAUUCGUAUUGUAUCCAAAACUAGUACUUUAAAAAGCGUUGGUAAAAUUAAUAGAUAUUGGGAAAAUGUUCUUUAGAUUUUAUAUUUAUAAUCACAAAAUCUCUAUACUCUUAAGCAUAAACAACCUUAACACAAUAAAUGAAAAUCUUAAGUAAUUUAUAAAUCGAAUAACCAGAUCCAACUAUCGAAGACCCACUGUACACACCUCCCAGAGCGGACAUUAAACCGCAGCUCCACAAUGAACGCGCUUUGUUGUCGUCGGCGUUAUCAAUUAAAUGUAAAACGAGGCGCAGCGCAAACGAAAUGGAAAUGAAAAUGGCAGCCGUGAGAUACUACACCACUCACACAGAUACUAUGUACAGAUACUUUAUAUAUAUGUAUGUACCUAUAGUGCACACGUUUACAAAAGGUAAGUUCCAUUUGUGAUGCGUCAGCCGGAUUCUUCUUAUGCGCUUUUGUUGUUACAGUUUGCUAUUAUUAUAUUUGCGAUGAGCGGAAAUGCCAAUUGAAGCUACCUUUAACAAAGCCCCAUGAAGAUGCCCGCCCCCGGGGGUUAACUGAUGGACUGAUGGAUGGAUGGGUGAACUUAUGGACAAACGGAGGGACUGUGUGCAUGACUCAAGUGUAUUUCAGGGGAGCCACUCGAGCCAAAGUUGAAAAUUGAUUGAUUCCACUAAGCGAAUGGGCCGCGCACAUGGAAAUGGAAGCUAAAACCACUCGAGUGUUCAAGGUACAGUCUAACCUCGGUGGCAUUAUUGUCGAUAAGCCACGCGUACGUGCGUACUACGUCCGUCCGUACCGCUCGUUUCCCUCCUUCACCACAUGUUGCUAGCUGCUUAAUUAAUUAAAUUUCAUCUGAACUGUUCGAAAUGUAAGAGGAUGAAGCGAUUGAGAAGAGUACACGCGAAAAAAGUAUACGACUUAUGGAAUUCUUAAACAAGAUUUGACCUUAGGCAGCACCAUUUGGUCCUUCAAGCCGAAACCCCAGCAAAAGUUACGCAUCUAGUUUCAAUUGUUCGAUUGCAUGGGAACAACAAUUUUGAGUAUUUAAUUCAUUAACGCUUGUAACGAACUUAUUUGUAUAUUUAUAAUCUAGUCCUAUUUUUCCUCCGUGUACUUUCACUAUUCACCUUAAAGUUCCACUAAUAUUCGUGGUAUUUCAGAGCGCUGAUAAGAACGCACUAUCUGCUUACUCAAUCGAUUCCUAAAAGGCGCGUGUGCUCGUAAACAAAGCAGAUCAGGGUCGAGAACUAGGAUGGAAAGUACGGAUUAGUCAGCGAACACAAUAACUAACCCCUGCCCUGCCUAUCUCUAGUGUUUGCAGAUAACCUCGAUCAGAGUUCCCAAAAAUCGAACCGGAAACUAGCGACCACACACAGCGGCAUCUUGUCUUCAAAGCGCUCGUCAAGUUUAAUUGUACCGAGCAUCUCAUGUGCGGAUGGUCCAGCGGUUGCAUUUCAGCCUGGCUAAUUGCAGGCGACAAGCCUUUUGGCUAUAAUUAUAACGCAACGUAGGUGGGCGCCUGUUUGGACCAGGCCAAAAAUGCCCAAACCCCAAGCCCCAAAAUCGUAGACAAAUCAAACGAACGAGAUCAGCAAAGAUAAUGUCUUGUCGCAGACAGAGAGCUAAUUUGUGAACGUAUUUCACGAUUGCUCGCUGAACAAAUGCUUUAUGCAGUGAGUGACAUGGGAAUUUGGCCAUAAUAGCGCGCAUAAUUGGCCGUAAAAGAUGAUCGACCAAAGGGAGAUCGUUCGGCUUUCAAAGUGUCAACCCCAAAGGCAAGCAAACAAUGCUGACAAAAUACCAUGCGAUGUCGAGGUGGGAGAAUAUUAUGUAUGGAUACAGUGGUGCUCGAGGAUGUAUAGAUUUUGUGGAAAUAUGUUAUAGUUUAGAGCAGAAUACUUCAGUUUGGGAUUUAAAAAUAAAAUUAAAAUCUUGCCAAUUUAGUUUUGAAAACGUUAUCAAAAUAUCAACAAAUCGGUAGAUUCAUUUUUAAACUAAACUUUGUAUUGCAAGUAAAAGACCAAAUAUUUUAGAAAUAUAUAUAAGAACCUUUAAGUUUCGAAACGCACUGUAUUUUGUUUGUCCACACAGACUUGUCUAUAUUGUAUCUGAUAGAUAUAGUGGCGCACCUGUCGCCUGACGAAAUGCGUAAACAAAAAUAACAACAAGCGACAAGCUCAAAGUUUUCUGCUUCUGUUUUUGUUUUAUUCUAUGUGAUUCUUUUUGAGGUCAGGCGAAAAAAAAAAAAACAAAAAUUAUUAACGACGCCACAAAGAAAUGUUUAGCGCAAAAAGAUGAAACGAAAGAGAGGAUGCGAGUGAAAAAUACGACGAACAUAAUGAUGUCUGAUCUCUAACUGCCUUAUAGCGAAAUACGCGACCCAAUUUUUGUCGCUUAUCGCAUCGCAGCUGCCGACGCACAGGAAAAUAGAGCUGAAAGAAUGUGGACUACGAGUGAUUAGGGUUUUCAAAUGAAUGAAUCCCCAAGUCGGGCCAUUGACGUACCUUUUAAGCGGAGACGGAGAGAGAACUAAUUGUAGUACCUCGUGGAAUCAAAAAGGUUAGUGGGGGUUAUCGUUAUCGCCACAAAUCGCGCCUGGGAAUGAAAAACCUGAUAAUACGGAGGUUCAGCUUCGGCCUGGACUUCAGAUCGGUUAAUUUGUUAUUAAUAUUGCGCUAGAACAAUGAGUGAUUUUAUUACGUAUUGCUGGGCGGGUUCAUUAACUUUCCUCGGCGCGAUCAUCUCUGCAUUAAUUCCAUUGGGAAAUUGAUUAACACGCGCCGUUAACAGGGAAAUACUUUUAGCCAUUGCGGUCACUUUGCUGCCGCAUUUCUCAAUAUUUUAUGGCCAGUUGGCUUUGUGCAGACUACAAAAAAUAUCUGCAGCAGCGUUGGGAUUUAAAAUUAUUAAUUUUCCAUAAAUCAUCUCGAGUUCAUCGCGGGCUCUGGGAAAACUUUUUGAACUGAAAUUCUGUUUCUGUUUCGGUUUCGUUUUCGAUUUUCAUUCGCCAACGCAGCGACAAAUCAAAUUUAAUUGUUUAUAAAUAAAACGUUUUUCUCAAUGAUGAUGAUGCCCUGAAUUUUCCCGCCGACAAGAGACCUGCGAAAUUAGUUGCGUAUUAGGAAAACAUAAAUUAGACGAUGCCGCGGAAUAAAUUAAAUUUAUCACUCUUUAUAAAGGCCCGAGUCUUGGGAAAUUAAGAAACGUGUCGUGGAUAAUUAAGAUUUUUAAAUCUGGCAGCUGCUACGCUUACUUUUGUAUAUUCAAAACAUCUUUAUCAAACUUGUUUCAGUGCAACUUGAGCUUUUUAAUAGUUAUCUUUUCAGAGAAAUAUAUAUUUUUUUUUAAUUUUGUCUGUUUUUUUUUUUUUUAAGACCUUCGUGACAGUUUAAGUCGUUAUCACUUUUAGCUGGAAUUGUUUUUAAUAUACGAGUGUCUCAGGAAUUGAAUUUGAUUCACUAUUUCCUUUUAAUUAUUUGCGCAAUAGUUUUUAAUAAUUGAUCUUAAGUCUUUUAGGUUUUAUAAAAACAAAAAAAUCUUGAAAAUGUUUAAUCAUUAAAUGUCCAUUUAAGAAUUUCCAUUGAAAUCAUUUACAACUGCAAUUUGUUAGUUAUCUAGAAACUUUUCUCAGGAGUCAUCUUCAAGUGCAAUCUCUUCUCACAAUCAGACUGCCCAAUGAAAUGUCAAGUGCUCAAGUACUAUAGUACCAUAUACUUUACCGCCAACUUUUCAAUUCCCUUUCUCCCUUCGCAGCAGAGCAUUUCUCAUUAAACAUAUCAAGUAACAACCGCACAAUAAACGUCACAAGUGAAAAAACCCACGGGACUUGCAGCGAGGAAAAUUCAGAGCAGUCGAGGGAGAUAUCGUCUGAGGAAUUUCCAUGUGAGAAUCUGCGCCACAAGCGGAGCCACAUAAUUUAUGGCCCUCACGGUGAAAGUUGAUAUAAAUCAGGAGUAACUUAAAAAUGAAAGAAUGAACCAAGAAAACCGAAAGUAAGGGACAAGAAGUUUAAAUUAUAGUCGACCGGCUGACAUGUGGAAAAGUGCAGGUGAAAACUGGGAAAACCAGGAGGGGAUAUCCUUAAGGAAACAGGAACUCCCAAUGAUGAUGAUGAUGAUGAUGUGUUAAGGGGAAUGGGAAACAUAAGAAAUGAUCUUAAGACAGGGGUUUUCUUUUAAGAACCUAAAGUGGAAAUGGAGAUGCUUCAAUAUUGUGAGCAGAAAUUAUUUUUUUGUCAACUAAUUACAGUCAUUGAAAAAUAAUUCAAAAGGCAUUAGUUUGCUUUUAUGUUUACUCUUACUUAUUAUCGUCAUAUAGUGAAAUAUUUUCCAAUUAAUUAUGAUACUUUAUAUGUUAUUUAAAACCCACUGACAAUAAAUUGUAACUUCGUUUUGUUUAAAUCGCCGCAUUGAGAAAGUUUUUUAAUUUGUUUGCUUUAAUUGCGAAUAAUUUUGAAACUUUCAACAGCAGUAAAUACCCGUUCCCCUUCACCUUUGACCUUACAGUGUCCGCAGAAAUACAUAAAAAAACCUAUUUAAAAGUGGGUAGACAAACAAGUAAAAGGGUUGAGCGAAAGGGGCUUGAAAUAAAUUGCUAUUAAUUUUUCACUCGCUCGGUUCGUCAAGCGGCGCCGAAAAGACGACGACCCAUGUGGUUGUGAACUCGCAGGACUCGCAGGAUUCGCAGGACUACACCUAAAGUGCAUAUAAUUUUUCAAUUUGAAUUGUCUGCCCUGCUCCAUUUUGUGGCGGCCAAAAAGGUGGCAACCGGAAGUGGAAAAGCAGCAAACCAACCCACCAAAUGAGUUGUGGCCAAAAAGUUGCAGCCAUGUGCGUUUGCAGUUAAGCAAAUAUUUAAUUGCUGCACUUUUUCUGUUGAAAGUUGGCCAGGACCUCCGUGCUUUUUUUUGUUUUUUUUUCUGUUUUGCUUUUGCCCAUAAUUUAUGGCCUGCCAUUUGCUCGACCGUCUGCCCCUUUUUUGACUCUUUCCCUGGUUAAUGAUGUUGACCUUAACAACAAAUGUUAAAUGUUGCAUCAACAAUGUUGGCCACCAAUACGGAUUGAUAUCCCCUGUCCCCCCGUUUUAAUGCUUUUUCAAUAAAACGGGGGGAAAAAGGCAUUUUGUUGCCUACUUUUGUGAGUCGACAGCCUGAUUUCCAUAAUGAGCCAUUUGUCUCACUGGCGACGGCGGCAUUAUUGUUAUUUCUGGCACUGUUUUUGUUUGCUGCAUAAUUAAUUGUUUUCACACAUAAUAAUUUAAUACGGCGAACACGUGUAAAGCCAUUGGCCAACAAUAUUAAAUAAAUGCAAUGUGCCACAUCAAUUAUAAUUGGUCUGUGUUCGUACGGAGUUUCGGGGCGAGUAGUUUGCCUAUUUGGCCAUGUGUCAAUGCGGUUGUUGCCAUUUUGGCCUUUUCGCAUGUGUUUAAAUGUUUAAAUGUCAUUAACAAAGCCGUAAAUUAUAUGCACCCGAAACCGGGCACCCGCCCAAAAGGUAUAAAAAAGGAGUUGCAACUCAUAAACCUGCUACUCAGCGUUCGAGUUUGGCCAACUUUAUUAGCUUUUUGCCAGGCUGGCAAUCAUCGCAGCUUAGGUAAAUAUUAAUAACCGACAGGCAGUCCUAAAAAAAGCCAAAAACAAGUAAAGGAAGCGAGAUUGUACAGUGGCUGUCAAUGUGGAAAUGGUCAAGGAAAAUUGUUUAAUUUUUGUGGAACACCAUAUGAAGUUAUAUAAUAUAUUCGAUGCUUGAAUGGAUAACAUAAUAAAUUAAUCAAGUUAAAAGAAAAUAAGUAAACGUUAAAGCUAUCUUCAUAACGAUUGAUUUUUUUUGAAUAUAAUACAUAUUUUUAUGUUUCAGUAUCAAGUCUUUUGAAAAUGUUCCACUGUUUCCCGAAAAAAUCAGAAAUCUCAUCUCAUAUUUUUUCGGGGUGGUGUCAAACUUUUUCAUUUCACUUGUGCUCACAUAUAGGGAAGGUAAAAGAUGAGCCCCCGCCCCAAAAAAAAGAACACCAUACACGAAAAACAACAACAAACUAGCCAUAUGAAUUUAUGACCAACGGAGGGGGUUGGACCAAAAGUUUUGGUCGGGGGCGCUUUUCUGUAUUUGUGUACUGGGGGAGUGCAACAAAAUUAUAAUUUAUGUGGCUUUAAUAGCCGCUGGGUAGCUCCAAGGUGAACCAGUCUGUGGAUACUGUUGUCCCUCACUUUUCUCUUAGACCCCUGACCCCUGACCCCUGACCCAUCCCCUGACUUUCUCCUUAUCGCGUGUGUGACGUCUGAAACAGGCUUGGGUUCUCCGUUUUUUUUUUUUUUUACAGCCUACCAUAUAUGGCAAAAGAUGGCGACGAAGGACAAGAGAAAAAACGAAGGCAUAAAGAAAAAAAAAACAAGUGGGCGGAGGCGUGUGGUUAGGUGUUAUCAGGUUCCACUUGCCUGUAGCAACAUUUAUUUUAAUGCCUUAUCACAAUAGCAGGCCUUAGAAAAAAAAUAUAAGAAACAACAACUGCACAAUUGGGAGUUAUGAGCGUGUGACUGACAGUAUCCCCCAUAUUUUUAUAUACGUUUUUUUUUUACAUAUACAUUUAUGCCCCCUUCUGAUAACACCCCCAAUUGUUUUUCUCCGUCGUCGUCAUUGGGGAAUUUUCGUUUUUACUAUUUUUUCCUUUAGUUCGGUGAACGCCUACGUUUUAUUUUUAUGCCUCUUAUCAUAGUUGUACCGCUGUUGUUGUUGUUGUUGCUUCAGACCGAUAAAACAAAAGUUGAAUGCAGGCAGGCAGGCGCUAGGCGAUAAAAAUAAGGUUCGUUUCUUAAACGUUUCUUUAGCAGUAUUGUAAUGCUUGCACAGAAAAAAAAUGUAUAAAAAAGUAAUGAACGAUAUGAUAUUUGUUACAUAAAACUAUUCAACUUGAUGAAAUAUAUUUAUUCUCAAAUGAAAUAAAAUUAAUGAGCUCUGAGUCAGUCUCGCAGUCGCUUUCAAAACAAAAUUAAUGUUGUUAUUAAAUUAAAAUUUAUCUGCAUUUUUUUUUUUGGUUAGGGGAUUUACACGAUUUGUCAACAGGAAAUAUGCAUAAGGUUUGCCUGGGGAUCUCGAGACUCUCGAAUGGGAUAGGAUUGAAUUGGAUUCUGUACUUGGCACCGCUGUCCCGUUAUCGGUUAGCUCAUUUCCCGUUAGCCGAGAACAAAGCCCACGCAUUGUACGCGCCGUGAUGUGUUCAAAGAUCAAGUGCCCCCCAAGUACCGACCCCUCCCCCUCCCUCUCCCAACCUUAUUUUUUACAUUUUUUGUUCCAAGUCGGAGUCUGAUUAUGCAUGAGUAACAGUCCACGAACCUUAACACGUAAGACUUAAAAGAAGAACAAGUAACUCUGCUAUCAGCUCUUCCAAGAACUCAUAUCCUCUCACAGCAUUAUUCAGGUUUAGUCACUGGUGACAGGGGUUUUUGUUCUGAUUAUCUUCGAGGGAGUAGUUUUAAAGAGGGGUUUUCAUAAAUAUUAUUAUUAUAGCAAUAGCAAUUUUUCUGGCAUGUAGAUAUUUCUUAGAAAUAUUUGGAAACACGCCUUUUAAAUAAAUGUAUUUUAUGUUUAUAAAUUGAAAGAACAUAAUUCAAGAAUUGGUUAAUGUAAAUUUUACUAUAAUCAAUUUAAGAAUUAGUUAAUAAAUCAUUUAAUGUAAAAGUAUUUUUAUUUUCUUUUGGUUUCUUUAAUUUGUUUGCUUUACUUUUCUCAUAAAAAGAAGUUUGCAAACUUGAUGUAAUUAAUUUAUAUGGAGACUAAAAAUAAGUAUUUAAUCUUUAAAUAAAAAAUAUAGCGGGUUUUGUCUAUUUGUUGAAAUUAUUAAUUUAGGCAUUUGCUUCGAAUAAUAUGACUUUUAAAAUAUUUUAGGACAGCUAAAGCUUAAAAGUUGUAGUUCUUGACUAUUAUUUUUUUACCAAAAACUGACUAAAACACAUAGUUUUUCAUGGGAACUUUACUAAUAUAAAUUCAA